Molecule: long non-coding RNA, 1208 nt
Organism: Athene cunicularia (burrowing owl)
Lineage: Eukaryota; Metazoa; Chordata; Aves; Strigiformes; Strigidae
Exons: 4
Source: RefSeq, a predicted model, not a curated record
GACUAUUUGAGCAGGAUGGCCGGCACGUGUGUGCUCAGCCAGCUCUGCGCUGUAAGAGGAUGGCAUCUUUUUUUUUUUUUUUAGAGCAAUCAACUGAGCUGCAGGAGCCUGUGUCUUUUGGGUCAUUUUGGUAGCAUUGAGUAUUCCUGAUAUAGCCCAUCCCCAGCAUCCCCCGAGCUCCUGCUGCCAGAUCUCCCCUCGGCUCUCACACACACACACGUGUCUGUUGCCAAGCUCUGCCCUGGCCCCAUCUGCUCCACUCUUUAUCCGCAUGUCCUGGAAACCACUCUUCUUCCUCACCCUUUGCCUUAGGCUAUAUAUAAAGGGCUAAUCCCAAAGCUAGUGGUGUCAAAGAAAGGUCUGCCACUGACUACAGGAGACUGCAAGGACCAUAGCUGCUCACUUCAGGGCGUAUUUUCAACAGAUGAUUAAAUAACCAGAGGAAAACAGCACAAGAUCAUCAUUGGGACACUCCAAAUUUUGUUUCCAUCUGGUAAGAGUCUUGUAGGUGCCGUAACUUCAGAAUAAUUUCAAGCCUGUACUUUUCACUGAAGACUCUGAAGUUGGAGUCAACCAGUGAGUGGAAGAAGGCAGAUUUGCUUUUGUGUCGCUCAUGGCCAUUCAGAAAACUGCUAAAGCAACAUGCCUCAGGGCUGUGAACACCUACAUCUGGUAAUGCUGGACGCGCUGUGUGACCACAUCCCUGCUGGUUGGACCCUCAGAUGAAAAUCCAGCUGUCUUGCUUGGUGCUGCCUCCAGAUCCGGCCCUAAGAGUGAUGCUGCUGGGGCUGCUUUCUUCCUACCUCAAGGACAUUGUUUAUUUCAAGAGUACAUCCACAUGCUUGUUUCCUGCUCUCAGCAAGGCUCUGGCCUUCCACCCAGUGAAGCUCAGGAAUUUUUGGCAAAAUCUGAUUAUCUUUUUUUCUUUGUGUGUGUAAUCCUGACAUGUUCCCUCCUGCACGCAGAAGUUGUACAUGGAGUUGCUUGGAACCACUCCUUCUCACGAGACUCUUCAUUUCCUUGUCUCUUGGGAUAAGAGCUUGUCACUCCAUGUCACACCUGGGAGGUGCAGGGAACCAUCGGGGAAGGCUGUAUUUAACCUGGGCAAAGGACCUGUAAGCACAGGGAACCUUCUAAGAUGAGUCCUGCUGUGGGCAACCCCACCAUCUCCAAGCACCACUCUGAGCUUUGGGUUGGGGUCUCUUCCA